Molecule: long non-coding RNA, 131 nt
Filed under: Dasypus novemcinctus (nine-banded armadillo)
Lineage: Eukaryota; Metazoa; Chordata; Mammalia; Cingulata; Dasypodidae
Description: lncRNA (ENSDNOG00000050320.1)
Source: RNAcentral
UGAGGGAAGCGGGGCUGAAGAGGGAGGGCCAGGAUGGCAGCAGCAACAAGUAGCCGAGGCCCAAGAGGCAGUAAGCAAUGAGGGAAGCGGGGCUGAAGAGGGAGGUAGUAUGACGGGGAUAUUAAUGUACA